Molecule: ribosomal RNA, 1503 nt
Filed under: Escherichia coli
Lineage: Bacteria; Pseudomonadati; Pseudomonadota; Gammaproteobacteria; Enterobacterales; Enterobacteriaceae
Description: bacterial SSU rRNA
Rfam family: Bacterial small subunit ribosomal RNA
Source: RNAcentral
CGGCAGGCCUAACACAUGCAAGUCGAACGGUAACAGGAAACAGCUUGCUGUUUCGCUGACGAGUGGCGGACGGGUGAGUAAUGUCUGGGAAACUGCCUGAUGGAGGGGGAUAACUACUGGAAACGGUAGCUAAUACCGCAUAACGUCGCAAGACCAAAGAGGGGGACCUUCGGGCCUCUUGCCAUCGGAUGUGCCCAGAUGGGAUUAGCUUGUUGGUGGGGUAACGGCUCACCAAGGCGACGAUCCCUAGCUGGUCUGAGAGGAUGACCAGCCACACUGGAACUGAGACACGGUCCAGACUCCUACGGGAGGCAGCAGUGGGGAAUAUUGCACAAUGGGCGCAAGCCUGAUGCAGCCAUGCCGCGUGUAUGAAGAAGGCCUUCGGGUUGUAAAGUACUUUCAGCGGGGAGGAAGGGAGUAAAGUUAAUACCUUUGCUCAUUGACGUUACCCGCAGAAGAAGCACCGGCUAACUCCGUGCCAGCAGCCGCGGUAAUACGGAGGGUGCAAGCGUUAAUCGGAAUUACUGGGCGUAAAGCGCACGCAGGCGGUUUGUUAAGUCAGAUGUGAAAUCCCCGGGCUCAACCUGGGAACUGCAUCUGAUACUGGCAAGCUUGAGUCUCGUAGAGGGGGGUAGAAUUCCAGGUGUAGCGGUGAAAUGCGUAGAGAUCUGGAGGAAUACCGGUGGCGAAGGCGGCCCCCUGGACGAAGACUGACGCUCAGGUGCGAAAGCGUGGGGAGCAAACAGGAUUAGAUACCCUGGUAGUCCACGCCGUAAACGAUGUCGACUUGGAGGUUGUGCCCUUGAGGCGUGGCUUCCGGAGCUAACGCGUUAAGUCGACCGCCUGGGGAGUACGGCCGCAAGGUUAAAACUCAAAUGAAUUGACGGGGGCCCGCACAAGCGGUGGAGCAUGUGGUUUAAUUCGAUGCAACGCGAAGAACCUUACCUGGUCUUGACAUCCACGGAAGUUUUCAGAGAUGAGAAUGUGCCUUCGGGAACCGUGAGACAGGUGCUGCAUGGCUGUCGUCAGCUCGUGUUGUGAAAUGUUGGGUUAAGUCCCGCAACGAGCGCAACCCUUAUCCUUUGUUGCCAGCGGUCCGGCCGGGAACUCAAAGGAGACUGCCAGUGAUAAACUGGAGGAAGGUGGGGAUGACGUCAAGUCAUCAUGGCCCUUACGACCAGGGCUACACACGUGCUACAAUGGCGCAUACAAAGAGAAGCGACCUCGCGAGAGCAAGCGGACCUCAUAAAGUGCGUCGUAGUCCGGAUUGGAGUCUGCAACUCGACUCCAUGAAGUCGGAAUCGCUAGUAAUCGUGGAUCAGAAUGCCACGGUGAAUACGUUCCCGGGCCUUGUACACACCGCCCGUCACACCAUGGGAGUGGGUUGCAAAAGAAGUAGGUAGCUUAACCUUCGGGAGGGCGCUUACCACUUUGUGAUUCAUGACUGGGGUGAAGUCGUAACAAGGUAACCGUAGGGGAACCUGCGGUUGGAUCACCUCCUUA